UGGCUCAGAACGAACGCUGGCGGCGUGCUUAACACAUGCAAGUCGAACGCGAAAGGGACUUCGGUCCUGAGUAAAGUGGCGCACGGGUGAGUAACGCGUAGAUAACCUGUCUUCAUGUCUGGAAUAAUACGCCGAAAGGGGUACUAAUACCGGAUAUUCUUGCUUUUCAUAAGUUAUGCAAGCAAAGGUGGCCUCUGCAUAUGCUACUGCAUGAAGAGGGGUCUGCGUACCAUUAGCUAGUAGGUGGGGUAAUGGCCUACCUAGGCGACGAUGGUUAGCGGGUCUGAGAGGAUGAUCCGCCACACUGGCACUGGAACACGGGCCAGACUCCUACGGGAGGCAGCAGUGAGGAAUAUUGCGCAAUGGGGGAAACCCUGACGCAGCGACGCCGCGUGAGUGAGGAAGGCCUUCGGGUCGUAAAGCUCUGUCAAGAGGAAAGAAGUGUACAAUGGCUAAUACCUGUUGUAUUUGACGGUACCUCUAAAGGAAGCACCGGCUAACUCCGUGCCAGCCGCCGC
Molecule: ribosomal RNA, 518 nt
Filed under: uncultured bacterium
Lineage: Bacteria
Description: bacterial SSU rRNA
Rfam family: Bacterial small subunit ribosomal RNA
Source: RNAcentral